Molecule: long non-coding RNA, 1325 nt
Filed under: Ananas comosus (pineapple)
Lineage: Eukaryota; Viridiplantae; Streptophyta; Magnoliopsida; Poales; Bromeliaceae
Description: long non-coding RNA (ACOM_LNC027765)
Source: RNAcentral
AUUUAAUUUCUUCCGCUUUUAUUAUUUAAAAAUUAAAAUACAUAAAUAUUUAUACAUAUUUUAAAAUAGUUUUGAUUAUAUUAUUAAGUAUAAAUUUUAGUUUUAUUAUACUAAUCAAUUACAUAUAGAUUGUAUAUUGAAAAAUAAAAGAAAAAAAUUGAUGAAGUUUAAGUUAAUUAUUUAUUUUAAUAAAUAUAGUUAUGAAUAUUAAUUACAUGAAGCAUAGUAACUAAAUUGUAAAGCUAAAAGAAGCAGUCAAAUUUUGAAGUAAAAAUAUUAUUGAUUGAUUCAAAUGUAACGAUUCAGGCCACUAGUAACAAUAACUCGUUGGGCCCAAAAUAUUUAAACCCAGUUAUUAUUACUAGUGUCUAAGUUUCUUAUAUACCCAAUUACAUUCCCAUUCAUAUCCGAUGUGAGAUUAUUGAGGCGUGACAAACUCCCCCCGUUAUGGCCCUGACGCCCUCGUCAGUCCAAUCAUACACACAGCCCAAGAUCACCAAGCGAUGUGAGACUGCGAUGUGAGACUCGUCUCGCUAGUCUUUGUCAUUCAGACCCUAACUUAGCUUGUCAAUCACCGACCCUGACUCAACCAAAACUCAUCUCAUACUUUCGGCUGGUGAAUUGGCUCUGAUACCAAAUGUAAUGAUCCAAGCCACUAGCAAAAAUAAUUCGUUGGGCCCAAACAUCGGCCCAAAAUACUUAAGCACAGUUAUUAUUACUAGUGUCUAAGUCUCUUAUAUACCCAAUCACAUCCACAUUCAUAUCUGGUAUGGGAUUAUUGGGGUGUGACAUCAAAUCUAAUAUUAAAAUUUAUUAGAUAGCUUAACAUAUUCGUUUUGUGAAUAUAAUUACUGAUUGAACAAAACAGAUCAAUACUUAACUCUAUCUUCACUUGGAAUAAAAUUAAAAUAUUAGAUUUGAUGUCAUUAUUGGGGUGUGACAUCAAAUCUAAUAUUAGAAAGCAUCACAUAGCUUAACAUAUUCGUUUUGUGAAUAUAAUUACUGAUUGAACAAAACAGAUCAAUACUUAACUCUAUCUUCACUUGGAAUAAAAUUAAAAUAUAAAAAGAACAAAUUACAUUUUUGAUUCUAAAACUACAAGACGCGUGACACUUUAGUCCUCAAAUUUAAUGGGUUAUAUUUUCUUACUCAAAUUAUAAGCUAUGUGAUGCUUUCGGUCUCAUACUUUAAUUAGUUGCAAUUUUGGCUCGAACUACGAUACAUAUAAUAUUUUAAUCCUCAACUUUUACUGCUAUUAUAAAUAUAAUUUAUUAUUCUUAUAUUUUUUAUCCGUUUUACAUUUCUAUUCUUAUGUUUUCACUAUA